CAAACCACUCAUGGUAUGGGACUCAAUAGUUAGUCAGAUUGACAGGAGAUUUUGUGGUCAGGAACGGGACUCCUGGAAGGUAUGUUGCCUCCCUGGUGCCAGGGUCCGG
Non-coding RNA from Chiloscyllium plagiosum (whitespotted bambooshark), 109 nucleotides. NCBI's taxonomy places the organism in Eukaryota, Metazoa, Chordata, Chondrichthyes, Orectolobiformes, Hemiscylliidae. The record is from RefSeq and is a predicted model, not a curated record.